ACCAAGCUGAUGAGUCCCAAAUAGAACGAAACGCGAAUCCUAGAU
Molecule: non-coding RNA, 45 nt
Organism: Schistosoma mansoni
Lineage: Eukaryota; Metazoa; Platyhelminthes; Trematoda; Strigeidida; Schistosomatidae
Source: Rfam